Molecule: long non-coding RNA, 446 nt
Organism: Daphnia pulicaria
Lineage: Eukaryota; Metazoa; Arthropoda; Branchiopoda; Diplostraca; Daphniidae
Exons: 2
Source: RefSeq, a predicted model, not a curated record
CACACAGUCAAACUUUUGGCGCUUUGGCUAAUUGGCUCUUAGCAGGGAUGCCAGAUGCGGACGUUUUUAAUUGUAAAACUAAUAAUGGCAAUGUUGCGCCUUACUUUCAAGAUGGCUGCUGACAGUCUGACAGCCUCGACGAUCGAAGUCAACUCAACUGAUUUUCCCUGACAUUAUUCGUCAUAAAAAUGAUAAAAUAGCCUACAAUUUAAACUUGCCAAUUCCAUCUGAUCAUGUGUCCUGAAACGGCUGUUUCUCAAAAUGUCGUCUCUUGCUGCACGUACCAGCUGUGCGUUUCGUCACAUGUAGAAACACUUCACAACAGUAACAGUGAUCAUGUUGGUGUAACCCUAAGGUUACAUGUUUGGUUUUAGAUCACUUUGUUGUUUUUAGAUUUUCUUGUGAUCUAUCUUCAAAAUAUUCUGAAAAAGCGAAUUAGUUCAAUU